GGGCCGAUGAUGAUAUCAGUCACCAAAUACCAUCUUUCGGGACUGAAUGACUCGAAUGAGUCUUGCUGACAAUUUUCUGCAAUUCUGAGGCCU
This 93-nucleotide small nucleolar RNA is filed under the name Salix viminalis (osier). RNAcentral's name for it is "Small nucleolar RNA SNORD96 family". It matches the Rfam family "Small nucleolar RNA SNORD96 family". Rfam says of the family: snoRNA Z37 is a member of the C/D class of snoRNA which contain the C (UGAUGA) and D (CUGA) box motifs. The record is from Rfam by way of RNAcentral. RNAcentral also lists the same sequence under 3 other names. Lineage: Eukaryota; Viridiplantae; Streptophyta; Magnoliopsida; Malpighiales; Salicaceae.